Molecule: non-coding RNA, 394 nt
Organism: Phascolarctos cinereus (koala)
Lineage: Eukaryota; Metazoa; Chordata; Mammalia; Diprotodontia; Phascolarctidae
Source: RefSeq, a predicted model, not a curated record
GGGAAAAUGGUUAGCAGAAUUGUUUUAUGAUUGUGGACAAAUGUAAUUUAUCUGAUUAUAGACAGGUGAUAACUUUGUUACCAACCAUAAGCUAAAGGGUCAUUUGCCAAAAGAAUCCAGAAUCUGAACUCAGAAAGAUAAAAGGAAAGAGAUGAAAUCACAGAUUUCAGAACUGUAUCAGCUAAGCUGGAAGCUGGAAUGGAUAUAUACUGCAGGUACUGUUGAGGAAAUCUAGACCUGACAGUGGAUGAGUACAUUGGAAUGAGGAAGUGUACACAAGGCUAUGUGACAUGGUGUUCCCUCCGAGGCCAACUUGAUUCGCUCACAGAUGCUGGAAUAAUUUGGGAACAAGCUUUCCUAUGGUUAAUUUACUAUAAAUAAACACCUUCAGAGA